RNAcentral lists this long non-coding RNA (6920 nucleotides) under Nicotiana tabacum (common tobacco). RNAcentral describes it as "long non-coding RNA (NTAB_LNC009682)". The record is from RNAcentral. Lineage: Eukaryota; Viridiplantae; Streptophyta; Magnoliopsida; Solanales; Solanaceae.
UAGGGUUUUGAUGGAUGAAAUUUGGGCAAUUUUGUUGGGUUUUCUUCUGAAAGGUUGAGUGUGGAUUGAAAGUUAUGACCGAGGUUGGUUCUCUGUGGACCAUUAAUGAUCUUAGGUGAGGAAGACAACCGGAAGGCGACGGGUCUCGUCAGUGCUACGAAAGAAACGAACUACGAUGGAAAACAAAAAGAGGAGAACAACGGUGGAUCAUGGAUGUUUGGUGGCAUAAGAAAUGACGAAUAUGACCCUGAUUUGAAAUUUUAUGACCUUAAGCAUACAGGUCGAAACCUACCAGCGCGGGCCCAACAUCAUCAUGCUAAUUGACAUACAGUUUUGAACAAAAUAUUCACUCAUAUAUAUACACUUUAUACUUUAUUUACAUUCUGGCAAAAAGUGAUGAAUCUCCCAAGCGAAGUAGUCUUCUUCUUAAUUGUCCUUGAAAAAAAAAACACCUGCACAAUCACAAAGUAAUGACCAUUUAUCAAUGUUCAUAUGAAAGUAGACUAAGUACAGACUUGUCUCAGUAAUAUAGUUCUUGUAGAUUUUAUAAUAAGAUAAAAAAAUUAGAUGUCUUAGAUGAGACAGCUAAAAAAUUUAAAAUGGAGCGGUACGCUUAAAACUUUAUUGCAGAUUUCAUCUUUAAAUCGCAUCUCUUUUCCAAUAUUUUUGCACAUGAAGUUACAAUUGUGUUUGUUUAACAAAGAGAGAUCAUUUAUUGAAGAGACUACUUAAACUAACAAAGGUCAAAAAGUGUAAUAGAAAUGAUCAUGCAUGCCAAAGAAGUGAAGAAAGCUAGUAGAUACUGAAGGUAGCAGUAAGACAGGUCAAAAGUGAUGAGUAAGGAACAAAGAGUAGGAUUUUAAAGUUUUCAAGGUAGAAGAAAGUAAGUGACCAAAUAGUUUUCAAAGUACAUUUCUAGUUACUGUAAAUAUCAAGUAGGCCAAGUAAACUUUCGACUUUGCAGAACAAUCCAAUGACAUGGAGGUUGUUUCAUCACUUCCGAUCUAAGCAUAUCUUAGCUUGUCUAUUGCAAGCUCUACCAUCUUUCCAAAAAUGUUUCCUAAGUUGAGUUCCUGGGAUUUCACAUUGAAGUUACACGUCGUGAAGUACAGUUAUAUGCUCUUACAACAUGAACAUAUGAAUAUCUCCUUGUAAGUUUACCUUUUCUAUUCGAUCCAGGAAUAACAUCAAUUAUUUAACUACUUUUCUGAUACAAUAUUAUUGUGCACUUGAUUCUUUUUUGAGAUGAAGGAAUUUAAAUAACGCUGGUAUUUCUAGAUCAUUGACACCAAACAUACCUAAGUUAACUACACUCAGUUACCUAUAAGUAAGCAAUCUUUUAUCAUAUUACACGGCUCAGUUGUCAUCUACCAAUGAUUACACUAAUUCAAAAGUUUACUCAUUUAAAGGUGGCUUGGAACCAAUGAAUUUAUAGGUCAUAUAUUUAAUUUGACCUUUCAAGAACCUACAAACUCGGUAAGUUCCCAUUUAUUUUUCUUCUUCCUACCAAUCUUACUGCAUUAUUUUUAACUUAAAUGAAAGGCUGAAAAUUUCUCCUCCUGCCAUGGAAAAGACACUUGGAGGAGAAAAACCAUUUACAAUCACCACCCCUUGAAUCAUUAGGACAACUGCCGAAACUUCGAGAAGUGUAUGCUCCUCGCUGUUAAAUUUCAUAUUUAUUUUGUAUAUUUGAUGAAUAAAUUUUAGCUCUAAGUCUACAAUACGUUAGUGAAACUUAGAUUUCUACUCACAUAGAAUUUUAAUUCACCUUAUGUAUUGCCGACACUGAUAAAGGUAUUUUCUAAUAUUAUAGAAACAUCACCUAACUGCCGAGUGUAGGUUUUUCUCAUAGUAUAGAAAUGUCAGUCAAGGCAGCUUCAGCUGAAAAAUUAUAAGUAUAAAAUUAGCUUUGUCAACAAUGAGAAGCCUAAAAUAAAUUAUAUUUUAGCUGAGCAAGCAUUUAAGUGCAUUUCUUUACCUUUUCACAUACAUGAUAUAUCUCAUCUAGAGUGCUGACAUUAUUAGAGGAAAUACCACCUGCAAAGUAAGACAAAGUUAAACAACUUAUUAGUAUUACGAUGCAACAACAAAAAAAAGACAAAAAGAAAAUUGAUCUUGAUUCAAUAUACUAAAAUAGAGACAUGCAUCAAAUUGGCCCAAGAUUUGGAUUACAUGGUGUAAAAAAUAACUUGUCGUACAGUAAAGGAGCUUACCUCCAAUAUCUCCAGAUUUAAGCUCUCUUUCUCAUGUGCGAAAGUAUUUUUCCUACCUUCUAUGAAACACCACACCACACAUUCAGAGUAGAGAUUAUUAUGAAAUAUUUGCUUUCUUGAUAUUAGUCACUCCGUUUUUGAAUCUUGAGGUUAUUUCUUGUACCUUCCUUUUGAAAUCUCCACUAUCUUCCAUCAAUUCUGAAUGCAUCAAAAAAAUGUUAAUGUCUAUGUUGCUUCUCUAGUUCACUAAUACAAUCUUAUCUAAUUCUCCAAUUCGGUGCGCACAAGAAAACUACAUCUUAGUCAUCAACCUCACAAUUCUUUUCAUAAAGAAAGUGAGAAGCUCCAAUCUGUCAUUUUUUUUUAUUCAACAAAAUUACAGAGGAUCCACCUAAUUGAAUAGAAUUUUCCUCAUCUUUUUCUUUUCCCUAGCCUAUUUCUUUCGUUGCGAAUAAAGGGAACCAUCAAAUCAAAAGGUCUUCUACCAGGUGUUUUCUUAGAAACUCAAUGCCAUGCAAUGCUGUUAUUGUUCUACCACAAAUUUUAAUUGUCGGUCUUUCAAAUUGCAGGUUUCUUUUUAUUUCCAUCACACCUAAACGAACAAUAGACUGCCAUUUCACCACGUGAUUGUAGAAAUUCAUGAAAAUUUAGCAAAUCAGACACAAUUAUAUAAAGCUUAACUGCAAGGAGCUUCUCCUCCAAGAACAAAAAGGACCAGAAUAUAUUUGAAUCUGAAAUUCUUUACAUUGGAUUUAAAUUUCCAGUCCCCACUUUAAAUUGAUUCUUGAAAAUUCAGUUUCUUUCAUUCGUGAAGAAGAAAACAAAGACAUAAAAUCCAAAUAGUUACAACCACAAUCCUCAAAUCUCGCUCUGCAACUAUCUCUCAUGCACUAUGUGGUGAAAAUAGAAAACAUGAUAGAGGUGUAAAAAACUACAAGUGCUAACAGUGUCAAAUAUUCGUUGGCAAUUCUAUAUUUUCUCCCUUACCUCCGAAGGAUGGAAAAGACCAGAGAUGCAUGAAAUCAAAUAGAUAAUUCAAUUCAUUGAAGAUUUUUAUCAAAAAUUACGUCAUGAAAAGAAAGAAACAGCUGGUCGGUUGCGGUCAAUGGUUGUAGAAAAAACACCAACUAUAUGAAAAUAAUAGUAAAAAGAAAUUAGCAGCACAUAUAUCUUACACUAAGAAUGGAACCUGCAAAACUCAAGCAGCAGAACCCUUGAAAUUGGAGAAUCUGAUGAAUUCUUAAACCUCAAUAGUGCAAGGGAAAAGCCUCCUUCAAAUUAGCUAGAGAGACAUGUCCAUUGAGCUACCAAUCUUGUUCCUUUCUUGACUUUUGUCGUUAAAUAAUACUUUUCAUGGCUAACUCUGAAAUUGAAUAAAAUACACAAUUACUUAUAUGUAAUAGCAGAUAAACCAAACAAUUUGACUGAAUUGACAUUAAAGUAAAGUGAAACUUAGACUCAACACAAAAAGAGAUACAUAGAGAGAGAUAGAAUCCAUAGUAAAACAGAAAAUCAGCAAGAAAUACCGAAGAGAGAAGAGCAAAGGCGAUAAGAAUGAGAAGACUAUGCGGUGGGUGUAGGAGUAAGAGACACGUAGAUAGCUGCUUUUCUAUAAUAUAGUAUAGAUAGGGAUUCCCACGCCAUAGGCACGGGCCCAACAUCACUUUAUGUUUCAGUUUAUGUAAACAUUAAUUUAGAGCUCUAGUUAGAGAGAAAAUACCAGUAUAAAUUACAAUAAGCUCAGAAAAAGGUCAUACAUGAAUACUCAUGGCAACAUAUAUGAAACAAAAGGCAAAAUAAUUAUAUAAUCGCCAAUUGAAAUGCAAGGAUGAACAUAUACAAGCACAUGCUUGCAUGUAAUUCACGUCUGUUGCACUACCGGACGUGCUUAAGUAGGAGCAGGAUGCCAAGUCUAUAAGAAGUGCCGAAAUUUUUUGUAAUAUUUUUACCUGUGCAAGAGCAAAAGGCACGGUUAGCUCACAAUUAUUUUCCAAAAUAUAAUCCUACUUAUUCUAUUCUAUAAUUUAUUAUCUAUUUUAGGAAAUAAAAUAUCAAUGGAUUGAUAAUUCCUUACCUAUUUUUAUUUUGAUGUUGCAAUCUUAGUUUGAUCAUCUGAUACCAUUUUGUACCUUUGUCAGAAAUGUUGCAAUUGAAAUUCAAUAUUGAUAAAUGAAUUACUUGUAAUAGCGAAUAGUGAUGCUGCUAUAAAACACGCCUUAAUCCCUAUUCAUAUAUGUAAUGCUUAAAUAAAAAAUUGAAUGUUUAACGUAUAGUUUUCGUUGUUUUGCAUAAGCACGAUCUUGAAACUAUAUUUUAUAUAUAUAUAGAGAAGUGCACAUGAAAGAAAGUAAGAAGCUACUUAUAGGGCCAACUAUUGAGUUUUCCAAUCCCAUCAAGUACAUAAAUUGUCUAAUUUCUUUAUGCUUUAGCACAUGUGCGUAAUACAAAUUAUCAGAAUGGAAAAAAGUAGAAAGUAACACAUCCGUACAUCACAAUUAUUAAAAGAAAUAUUUUUUAGAAAUUCUCUUUAAAUUCUUGAUUGUAACAUACUUUACAGUCUAUUCACCUAAAUUAUUGUGUUAAUUCCAUACAUUUUAACAAAAUAGGAGGGAUAAUGUAUGUGCAAAUGAAGUCUUCUGUACAGGAACUGCACUUGGUGUUGCACCAGGUGGAAGUAUCUAAAAAUAUCAAAUUUCGCUAUUUGUACCCUGUCGAAGUAAGGAACCAUGAUAGCUGAGAUAAAAGUAUUUGCUUGUGCUAGAAAAUGUUAUUCUGCAGCAUCAAAUCUUACGACGUUUAAGAGUCUUAUGGAAAAUGAAUUAUGUACCACUUCUCUCUUUGUGAUAUACGCUAUCUAAGGCAUUUCUCACUAUUUUUUCCACCAAGAUAUGAACGUUCCUGAUCUGCUCAAUUUAGGCGUUGUCCAUCUUUCUUUUAUUUGUAGGCAUAUAAAUUUAUUACUAAAAUAGAGACAUAUAUUAACACAAUAGCAUGAAAUAUAAAGCAUAACUAUUUAGCAUUAUGAAUAAGCAUAUGACAAUAGACUAAAGAAGUGCAUAAUCACCUAUUUAGUCGAAGUCAUGUAUUUUAGUAGAAGCAUUGUUUCUGCUUCCUAGGCCAGCACUUUGAAGAACCUGUGAAAUCAAAAUAGUGUGGCCAUUAUAUUUCCAACUAAAUUUAUCAAAAAAAAAAAACAUAGAAACAUGUACAAGAUGUACACAUAUAGGUUAACACUUAUAAAUUUACAUAUCCAGAACAAUGUCCUUCCUUAGACAUAAAGAUCUUUUUGAAUCAUUUUCUCUGUUCCUUAGACUUGGUCAUGAUUGGAAGUUUUUAACGCCAAAAAUUGGGGUGAAAAUUAGCCACUUUACGCCAUCGCUACAUUAUGCUCGACUCGACUUAUCAAUACUCUGCAUCAUUCAUUACUUGUUUUGUAGGUGCGCCACGAAGAAGUUCAUAGAAACGAAGCUCUAUAAAAUUAUGGUUUUUCCUACACGUAUAUCAGUAACAACUACUGAAUAGGAUAUCUAAUCAACGUUUUAAGGAAAUAAUGAAUGGAUCCUACAAAGGAGAUUUCAAAUGCCUCUGUUGUAAAGAAAUUCAGUGGUAGAAACUGUUGAAAUUUAUGCCGAUACAUAGUUAUGGCAGAUACUCCCAACAAUUCAAAUCUCAUCAACAUGUUCACCAAGCAUUGUCGCUGCAAAAACUUCACUUUCAGACAUUAACAAAAUUAUCACUUACUAUAUUCCCGUAGUAAAAUCAACAAACAGUAGCCCAGGUAAGUUGAACAAUAAGGUAAACAGAUACACAUUAGGAUACAACAGGUACAUCCAAUUGGGAUAAAAAUCAUAACACCAAAAUAUUAUUACACUUGAUUUUCUCAGGUAGAGAACUUCCCCUUUCUGCAUCAAUUUUGAAUCUAUAUAAUUAUUGGUGUCGCUAGAGAGCGUAUAUUUUUAAGAUAGUAAAAUAAAAAUAACAGAUACUUUAACAAACCGAGAAUACUACUCAGACUUCAGUUGUGCUGGCAAACUUCCGUUUUUUAUCUUUUAAGGAUAAAUUCAAGAAGCGCACCAAAAAACUUAGAUUUUCAUGUAACUAAACCAUUCAAUCAAACAUUACUGGAAAUAAUUCAUAUGCAAAAUAGCUAUCUAUAAGGAGUAGCAAUUUUUACCUCUUUUUUUGUUCCAAGUACUACUUCUCGUCUUCAUCUCCCGGCAUACAUGAAGUUUAUAGUCUAAAUCUGAAGGACAGAGAUCGAUUAACAAGCACAUGCAAAUUUGAAAUACCCCAAACAUUGCAACAAAAAUUGCAGAGCGAAAUUGGAAUCGAGAAAUUUUAAGGGCCUGAAUUAUACAAAUUGCAACAAUAAAUCGAGUUUCAACUGCUAAAUUAAAUUAAUUUAGCUGGAUACUGGAGGAAACAAUCCAAACCCAACAAUAGUUGAAGGAAAAGAACAGAAGAGUGAAACUAACCUUGUAACCCUGUGAUUAUCUUGAUGGAGCAAAUACCAAUGCUCUGGAAUCCAUGGAAAAAAGGAUGGAGAAGAUAUUGGGACUGGAUGGGAAAAGGAUGCGGUGGCUGAGAAGAAAACCAAGGUAUAGAGCUGAUGCUAAAUGAUUGAAUUACCCUCAAGCUUUUUUAAAAAGAUACUAAGCAGACAUGUGAAAAAACUUUCUCUUCUAAUAUAUAGAGAAGAGAACUAUA